AACGUAGGAGGCGAGCGUUAUCCGGAGUUACUGGGCGUAAAGCGUAUGUAGGCGGUUGGACAAGUUGCGUGUGAAAGCGCCCGGCUAAACUGGGCGAAGCCACGUAAGACUGUUUAACUAGAGGGUGGUAGAGGGGCGUGGAAUUCCGGGUGUAGCGGUGAAAUGUGUAGAGAUCCGGAGGAACACCAGUGGUGCAGACGGCGCCCUGGGCCACUACUGACGCUGAUAUACGAAAGCGUGGGGAGCGAACGGG
RNAcentral lists this ribosomal RNA (253 nucleotides) under uncultured bacterium. Its description in RNAcentral is "partial 16S ribosomal RNA". It matches the Rfam family "Bacterial small subunit ribosomal RNA", at positions 524 to 776 of the family's 1533-position model. The record is from RNAcentral.